This is a regulatory RNA element of Thermanaeromonas toyohensis ToBE, 80 nucleotides long. The record is from Rfam. NCBI's taxonomy places the organism in Bacteria, Bacillati, Bacillota, Clostridia, Neomoorellales, Neomoorellaceae.
ACCAAGUUUAAACCGCUUAAGCAGGGUUUUAAAGGCCUAUUACUUUAGGCUACCCUAUCUUAGCGAGUCUUAGCUUUGGG